AUAUAUAUAUAGUAUGUAAUGUGUGUGUGUAAUAUAUAUAUUGUGAGGAAGUAGGUGGAGUGAGACAGCAGGGAGGGGGUUAAUCCUCCCUGCAUAAAAGAAACAUGGGAGAAUGCACAUUUGUUUGAUUGUUUAAUUGUUUUAUUAGUAAUGAUUAUCCGCACCUGAGCGUUAUUGGGCAGUAUAAAGCAGUUAGUCUGCUCGGGGCUGCUGAGGAGAGGGAGGCAGAGAAGGUGCUCUGCUUCCAAGCAGUCGGAUGAGAAGGAAUGGGAAUUUCCUGAACUGCUCCAGGAGAUCUGCGAUGCGCUGAUGAAUCGAGAGCCAGCGCUGUGGAAGAAGGUGAAGCCGAAAGCGCUGCUCGAUAACUGCUGCAAGACCAUGAAGCUGCUGUUUGAGUGUGACUGGAAUGGAAGAAGACACACGUCUGCCCUCUGAAGAUGGAAUGCUUUUACUGUCCUGUAUUUGUGUGUCUCUGUCAGAAACCAAGCAGCUAAGAAACACCAACUGCUAUGCUUUACUUUUGGGUAACUUUUGUUUUUUAGAUGAAUUAACCCUGCUUUGUAUUAUUAGAUUGUAAUAUGAUUAGUAGUGUUUGUGUAUCAUAUUGUAUGUUUGUGGCAAAAUGAGUUGCACCCAGAAUGUUUUUUGUUUGUUUUAAAAACGUGAACAGGUGCAUAUGUAAAUAGUGUAUGUUUUAUACACCUCUACACUUAUGAUGCUGCAUUGUACAGCAUUUCAUGAUUGUGUAAAUACCAAAAUACAAAUAUAUUCCACAUUGAAAUGCAAUUGAAUUGCGGAGGACGAGAACUAAAGACUGACGCAUUGUAAUGUGUUUGUUUUUACGGGGUUAGACUCUUGAGAUAUGAUGCAAUCAUUGCAUUUUGUUUUGUUUUGGUAAAUAAUGAAUACCUGUACAAACAACAGGAGCCAGUGUGGUCGAGUGGUUAAAGUCCAGGGCUUGUAAGCAGAAGUUCUCUGGUUCAAAUCCCACCUCUCCCACUGACCGACUCACUAUGUGAUACUGAGCAAGUCACUUGAAUCUCCUUCUGCUCCAUCCUACAGCCUACCCCUGUAAAGUGCUUUGUGAUGGUGGUCCAACAUGAA
Long non-coding RNA from Acipenser ruthenus (sterlet), 1104 nucleotides. RefSeq lists it as uncharacterized. Lineage: Eukaryota; Metazoa; Chordata; Actinopteri; Acipenseriformes; Acipenseridae. The record is from RefSeq and is a predicted model, not a curated record. The transcript has 3 exons.